RNAcentral lists this ribosomal RNA (404 nucleotides) under uncultured bacterium. RNAcentral describes it as "bacterial SSU rRNA". It matches the Rfam family "Bacterial small subunit ribosomal RNA", at positions 976 to 1381 of the family's 1533-position model. The record is from RNAcentral.
AUCCCUUGACAUCCUGCGAACUUUCUAGAGAUAGAUUGGUGCCUUCGGGAACGCAGUGACAGGUGCUGCAUGGCUGUCGUCAGCUCGUGUCGUGAGAUGUUGGGUUAAGUCCCGCAACGAGCGCAACCCUUAUCAUUAGUUGCUAACAUUUAGUUGAGAACUCUAAUGAGACUGCCGGUGAUAAACCGGAGGAAGGUGAGGACGACGUCAAGUCAUCAUGGCCCUUAUGGCUAGGGCUACACACGUGCUACAAUGGGGGGUACAAAGAGCAGCCAACUGGCGACAGUGCGCGAAUCUCAUAAAACCCUUCGUAGUCCGGAUCGGAGUCUGCAACUCGACUCCGUGAAGUCGGAAUCGCUAGUAAUCGUGAAUCAGAAUGUCACGGUGAAUACGUUCCCGGGCCU